Molecule: transfer RNA, 71 nt
Filed under: Schizosaccharomyces japonicus yFS275
Lineage: Eukaryota; Fungi; Ascomycota; Schizosaccharomycetes; Schizosaccharomycetales; Schizosaccharomycetaceae
Description: tRNA-Ala (CGC) (tRNA-Ala-CGC-2-1)
Rfam family: tRNA
About the family: Transfer RNA (tRNA) molecules are approximately 80 nucleotides in length. Their secondary structure includes four short double-helical elements and three loops (D, anti-codon, and T loops). Further hydrogen bonds mediate the characteristic L-shaped molecular structure. tRNAs have two regions of fundamental functional importance: the anti-codon, which is responsible for specific mRNA codon recognition, and the 3' end, to which the tRNAs corresponding amino acid is attached (by aminoacyl-tRNA synthetases). tRNAs cope with the degeneracy of the genetic code in two manners: having more than one tRNA (with a specific anti-codon) for a particular amino acid; and 'wobble' base-pairing, i.e. permitting non-standard base-pairing at the 3rd anti-codon position.
Source: RNAcentral
GGGGAAGUGGUUUAGGGUAUAACGUUUCAUUCGCACUGAAAAGGCCCCGGGUUCGAUUCCCGGCUUCUCCA